RNAcentral lists this ribosomal RNA (253 nucleotides) under uncultured bacterium. Its description in RNAcentral is "partial 16S ribosomal RNA". It matches the Rfam family "Bacterial small subunit ribosomal RNA", at positions 524 to 776 of the family's 1533-position model. The record is from RNAcentral.
UACGAAGGGUGCAAGCGUUAAUCGGAAUUACUGGGCGUAAAGCGUGCGUAGCUGGUUUGUUAAGUCGAAUGUGAAAGCCCCGGGCUCAACCUGGGAACUGCAUCCGAUACUGGCAGACUAGAGUGUGGUAGAGGAUGGCGGAAUUCCCGGUGUAGCGGUGAAAUGCGUAGAGAUCGGGAGGAACAUCCGUGGCGAAGGCGGCCAUCUGGACCAACACUGACGUUGAGGCACGAAAGCGUGGGGAGCAAACAGG